Molecule: ribosomal RNA, 497 nt
Filed under: uncultured bacterium
Lineage: Bacteria
Description: partial 16S ribosomal RNA
Rfam family: Bacterial small subunit ribosomal RNA
Source: RNAcentral
GAUGAACGCUGGCGGCGUGCCUAAUACAUGCAAGUCGAGCGAACAGACGAGGAGCUUACUCCUUUGACGUUAGCGGCGGACGGGUGUGUCACAUGUGGAUAAUCCCCCUAUCAGACUGGGAUAACUUCGGGAAAGCGGAGCUAAUACCGGAUAAGCUGCUGAACCGCAGUGUUGAAUGGAGAAAGACGGCGUUGGGGGCACUACUCGCUGGAUCUGAGUUGGUUUGGCUGGUUGUUACGUUAACGGCUUAUCACGGGAACGAUGCGUAGGCGACUUCAGAGAGUGAUAGGCCACACGAGAGCUGGAACGCGCUCAAGGCUCCUACGGGAGGCAGCAGUAGGGAAUCGUCCGCAAUGGGCGAGAGCCUGGCGCAGCAGCGCCGCGUGUGUGAAAAAGGCCUUCGGAUCGUAAAACUCUGUUAUUAGGGAAGAACAGCUGUGUAAGUAACUGUGCACGUCGUGACGGUACCGGAUCAGAAAGCCCCGGCUAACUACGUG